ACUCCUACGGGAGGCAGCAGUGGGGGGAUCUUGGACAAUGGGAACCGUAGCUCAGCGAUGCGCGUGUGUGAAGAAGGCCUGCGGGUUGUAAAGCACUUUAGUUAGGGAGGAAGUUUAGUUGAUUAAGAGUCGAUUAAAUUGACGUUACCUAAGAAUAAGCACCGGCUAACUCUGUGCCAGCAGCCGCGGUAAUACGGAGGGUGCGAGCGUUAAUCGGAAUUACUGGGCGUAAAGCGCAUGCAGGCGGCCUGUUAAGUCAGAUGUG
RNAcentral lists this ribosomal RNA (265 nucleotides) under uncultured bacterium. RNAcentral describes it as "partial 16S ribosomal RNA". It matches the Rfam family "Bacterial small subunit ribosomal RNA", at positions 335 to 596 of the family's 1533-position model. The record is from RNAcentral.